RNAcentral lists this ribosomal RNA (497 nucleotides) under uncultured bacterium. RNAcentral describes it as "partial 16S ribosomal RNA". It matches the Rfam family "Bacterial small subunit ribosomal RNA", at positions 28 to 507 of the family's 1533-position model. The record is from RNAcentral.
GAUGAACGCUGGCGGCGUGCCUAAUACAUGCAAGUCGAGCGAACAGACGCUGCGCUUGCUCCGCUCACGUUAGCGGCGCACGUGUGAGUAACGCGUGGAUAACCUACCUGUAAGUCUGGGAUAACUUCGGGACACCGGAGCUAAUACCGGAUAAUCUCUUGCACCACAUUGUUCAAUAGUGAAAGACGGCUUUGCUGUCACUUAUAGAUGGUUCCCCGCCGCAUUAGCUAGUUGGUAGGGUAACGGCUUACCAAGGCGACGAUGCGUAGCCGAAGUGAGAGGGUGGUAGGCGGCACGGGAGGGGAGACACGGUCCAGACGCCUGCGGGAGGCAGCAGUAGGCAAUCGGCCGCAAUGGGGGAAAGCCUGACGCAGCGACGCCGCGUGAGUGAUGAAGGCCUUCGGAUCGGAAUACUCGGUUAUUAGGGGAGAACAAAUGUGUAAGUAGCUAUGCAGGUCGUGACGGUACCGAGUAAGAAAGCCCCGGCUAACUACGUG